AUUUUGGAGAAAUAGAAACCUAGAGGUCCAGAUCCAGGAAGAGCUGGCAACCAGGGAGGCGGGGGAGAGGCCCUGGGCCGAAAGCUGAGGGUUUGUGUGAAAGUGUAGCCAGGCCUGUCCCCCUGCUCCCCCAGCGCGUCACCCGGGUAUAUCACCAGCCUCAGCCCAUCCUCAGGCAGAAGGACGAAUCUCUUGGGAGAAACCGUUGGGCUAAAACACUGAAUUGCCGACCAGAAGAGGUGGCCUUGUCGCCCUGGCCCUGUGUGAUGGGUUUAACCACGCAGGAAGAUCUUUUUGGGGGCCUUCGCAAUCCUGUUGGGGAGUGUGGCGAGAAAGCGCGUGCAUGUGGGCGAGUGAGGAACAGAGAGAGAGGAAGAGAGAGAAUCCUAAGCAUCCCGACCUGGGGCUCGAACCUGUGAACCGUGAGAUCAGGACCUGAGCUGAAAUCAAGAGUCGGACACUCCACCGACGGAGCCACCCAGAUGAGGGAAACCGAGGCACAGAAAGGUCAGGAGACUUGCCUCAGUUCACAAAGGUAGUAAGUACAGGGGAUGGCCUCUACCGCUCGCAGCCUGGCUCGGGUCGGGGCUCGUAAAAGCUCUUCCGUGUGGCACCCACUGGGAAGACGGUGUUUAGAUGGGAACUCACUCCCUGUGUCCAAGACAUCAGAUGUAUGGAAGUCAAGUGAGAUCUCAAAACCAUGACCUAAAGGUCGUCGCCUCUCUACUUCUUUCCACGGUGUCUACCUUGGAAAGCCAAGCUCCUUGGGAGACUGCUCCUGCUGGUGACAAACGCCGUUUGACACGGGCCUUGAAAACGGAAUGUUCGUUAUCACCCUGAUUAGCCUCAUACUUUGAUAUUUCCUUCUCUGCAAUGCUGCCUAAUGUUUUAUUAUACCAUCUCUUCUUAUCGAGCUCCU
Long non-coding RNA from Acinonyx jubatus (cheetah), 919 nucleotides. RefSeq lists it as uncharacterized. The record is from RefSeq and is a predicted model, not a curated record. The transcript has 3 exons. NCBI's taxonomy places the organism in Eukaryota, Metazoa, Chordata, Mammalia, Carnivora, Felidae.